CUCUAAUUCUAUCCCGUGAGUAGGAAUGACAGGCAUUUUGACACCUGUUGUAUUGAUAAGGACACUGAGGCUCUGAGGAGUGAAAUGACUUUGGCCAGCCAAUGUCAGAGCCUGGAUUUGAACCUAGAUCUUGGGACUCUGGUACAAAAAAGGAUCUGUUGGGUCAUCUCUGCACAACUGCUCCCCUUCCUUCUGGCUGAUCAGCAAUUCAGUGAGCCUAAGGGCAUGUGUGAGGACAUGGAGAGAACUUCCAUCACUCAAGAUUAUCAUCUCAGAAGCCCACUAGCCCCAGGCUUUCCAAUGACCUCGGAUCUGGGAAGGACAAGGACUAACAAGUCAGUUUCCUCCAUAAUUCUUUCCUAAGAAGAGCAACAGCAGCUGUUGGACUAUUAUCCCUUGCCCAGAGGCAAGAGACUUAGCCUCGAGAUCACCAGGCUUUUGGCCAAAGUCUGGCUACCAAAAACUCUUUAGCUUGGACUGCUGCCUGGCAGUCAUUCUGAAACAUGCCCCUGGCAUCACAGGUGGAAGUUUGAGGGAACAGAGUUCAGGACCAAAUGUGCACCAUUAAGACAUUAGCGGGAUGGUUUGAUGUGAAGCAGGCCUAGGGAUGGAGGCAGAGCUUUGGGAGUUAAUGGGACAGGACCAGUACAGUUAAUUGCUUACUUGCCUGGAGACAUGUAGGGACUAAGGAAAUGGACAGAACUUCGGGAGUGGUUUUGUGGGAGCUAGUCAAUCUUGCCAUGUUAUAUUUUGUAAGUAGUGGCUAUGAGGAACCAUAAAUCAUGUGAAACAUAUGAACGAAAUGUCUACCCAGGUAAAAUAGAGUUCCAGCAGUUUCUCUGGAAAUGUCUUGGGACUGAGGCCUAGAUGUCAGUCAAGGAAUCUCAGAAUAACUCAUAAAAUAGAACCCUCUGUUCCCAAACCUACAAGUUAACAUGGGAGACAUAUGGCCCAGGAAGGCUCAUCUGAGCAGUGCCACCUACUUCUUUUGUUGAAUGCCCAUCCUGGCCUGGCCUGCUCUUCCACUGGUCACCACAGGGGAAAUCUAAGAAGAUAGAGCCUCCAAGUGUAGGGGGGAAAAAGGGAGGGGAUAGGGGUGACUGGCAACUGGACACAACCUCUGAGCAUAGUUAUCUGUCACAAAAGGAAUCUUGAAUCUGAUACAUGUCGUUUGACAGGCAGCGAGGUAGACACCUCACUGAAGAUAACUUAUUGAGGACCAAAAGAGGACCAAAAGACCUCAGGAAAUAGCACAUUUGAUAUCUGUUCUUGGUCUAGGUCUUUCCCUUCCUUUUCUCUACUCCAAGAUUUCAUCCACUGAGUCACAGUGGAAAACUGUGAUGUUUGAAAUUUACUGCUGAGAGAGUAGCAGGCACUAAUUUAGCUAAAUGUUUCCUUUUUAAUGGCAGCAUCAUAGAUGCCUCCAAUACCUUACCCUAAGCUGAUCCUUUCUAAUGAAUCAUUCACAUUUAAAUAUAGCUAUUUUGUCAUUGAGGAAAUAAAUCAGAAAAAGAGAUCAUGUGGGGAGAUUGUGGGAUACCAAGUGAUGGUUAAAGUGUUCCACUGGUACCCAAGGAAAAGUAAAGACUAGGGACAAAGCUUCUAGCAUGUUGGUGGAUCAUAUGGAAGAUUAUGGGUAAAAAUUACAGAGGAUAAGAAGAAAACAGAUGGGCUACAAUUUAUAUUCAUGGAAAGAAUAUUCGUAUUGAUGAACUGACAAACCCACUGAUGCAUUCUCCAGAGUCAGUAAGGAUUGGUUAGUGAGGACUGAAGAUGGAGCUUCCACACCUCAUUCUGAGCUUCUCAAGGUCAGCCACCUCUCAGCUUGGAUUGUCUCCUUUCUACCUGAUUCUGUUUAGUGGUUGUUCUUUAAGAGGGCACGGUGGGUCCUUCAAAAGGCCUUGAUCAUUUUCCUCUCUCAUAUAAUUCAGGAAUCAGAAAUCUAUUAGACUAGUUAAACCCUCAAUCUUGGGCUUUUAGUUUUAUUAUUUUCCCUCAUGGAGGAAGAUGUAGAAGUAGCUAAAGGACAUAUUUGGUUUUGCUUGUGACAAUCCAUUACUAAUGCUUUUUUAUAUGACAAAUUCAAAGAUAUGACCACUUACCAAUGGAAUUUAUUGUCUUUUUUACAAAUGAUCUCUAUUCAGAGGGUGGAAUACUCUCUCUAGCUUUCUUGAUAACCAAACCCCUAACCUUAUAUGACCAGACCUCUUUUGUGGGGUAAGGAAAGAGGUACUUGGCACAAAAUCCUCAAGUACAGAAUCUAAGAAUCCUAGUUAGAAGGGAAUUUAGAGGUUACUCCUACCUGAAUAAUGAAUCUCUCUAUAAUAUUCCCAACAAAUGAUUUUCCCAUUUACCAACAGGAAACUCCUCUUAUGAUUCUGAACAAGAAUUCCUUGGUCAAAUUUUUAAUAUCCUUCCUGAGUCAGGAGAUUAAGAGAACAAGGUAGUUUCUUCCCACUCUCAUAUUCUCUAAGUCUAAUGAGUUCUCCUUU
This is a non-coding RNA of Monodelphis domestica (gray short-tailed opossum), 2492 nucleotides long. NCBI's taxonomy places the organism in Eukaryota, Metazoa, Chordata, Mammalia, Didelphimorphia, Didelphidae. The record is from RefSeq and is a predicted model, not a curated record.